GUUUAAGCUAGAGGUAGAGAACACUUCUAUCUCGCAAGCCUUAUAUCCAGGAGAACGUUCAAUUGCACAAAACAAAUUAGGUUCCCACAAGAGAACAACAAACAUUUUCUCUGUAAAAGUGGAUCAAUAGACAUCAUAUAUAGUUUGAUUGAAAUGCAUGGCAUGUAUUUCUGACCCUGUCAUAUAGGAGUAAUUAUAUAUCUAACAUGGUAAAAUUGCGCUCUAGAAAAACUGCAUGUACAUGGACUUG
This 250-nucleotide long non-coding RNA is filed under the name Oryza brachyantha (malo sina). Its description in RNAcentral is "long non-coding RNA (OBRA_LNC002373)". Lineage: Eukaryota; Viridiplantae; Streptophyta; Magnoliopsida; Poales; Poaceae. The record is from RNAcentral.